Molecule: ribosomal RNA, 245 nt
Filed under: uncultured bacterium
Lineage: Bacteria
Description: partial 16S ribosomal RNA
Rfam family: Bacterial small subunit ribosomal RNA
Source: RNAcentral
GUAACGCGUGGGUAACCUGCCCUGUACAGGGGGAUAACAGCUGGAAACGGCUGCUAAUACCGCAUAAGCGCACGAGGAGACAUCUCCUUGUGUGAAAAACUCCGGUGGUACAGGAUGGGCCCGCGUCUGAUUAGCUGGUUGGCAGGGUAACGGCCUACCAAGGCAACGAUCAGUAGCCGGUCUGAGAGGAUGAACGGCCACAUUGGAACUGAGACACGGUCCAAACUCCUACGGGAGGCAGCAUG